GGCUAUUGCUAUCAGGGUUUGACUAAGCCAUGCGAGUCGAGAGGUGAAAGACCUCGGCAUACUGCUCAGUAACACGUGGAUAAUCUGCCCUCAGAAGAAGAAUAAUCCCGGGAAACUGGGGCUAAUGCUUCAUAGGAGACGGGUGCUGGAAUGCUCUGUCUCUGAAAGGUCCGCCGUCUGAGGAUGAGUCUGCGUCCGAUUAGGUUGUUGUUGGGGUAACGGCCCACCAAGCCUUUGAUCGGUACGGGUUGUGGGAGCAAGAGCCCGGAGAUGGAUUCUGAGACAUGAAUCCAGGCCCUACGGGGCGCAGCAGGCGCGAAAACUUUACAAUGCGAGCAAUCGUGAUAAGGAAACCCUGAGUGCCUGUCAACGCAGGCUGUUCUGGUGUCUAACACACACCAGGAGAAAGGGCGGGGCAAGACCGGUGCCAGCCGCCGCGGUAAUACCGGCUGCUCGAGUGAUAGCCACUUUUACUGGGCUUAAAGCGUUCGUAGCUUGGUCGUUAAGUCUCUGGGGAAAUCUUUUGGCUCAACCAAAAGGCGUCUCAGGGAAACUGGCGACCUAGGAACCGGGAGAGGUAAGACGUACUUCGGGGGUAGGAGUGAAAUCUUGUAAUCCCCGAGGGACGACCGAUGGCGAAGGCAUCUUACCAGAACGGCUUCGACAGUGAGGGACGAAAGCUGGGGGAGCAAACCGGAUUAGAUACCCGGGUAGUCCCAGCCGUAAACGAUGUGCGUUAGGUGUGUCAGCGACCACGAGUCGCUGAGGUGCCGAAGGGAAACCGUGAAACGCACCGCCUGGGAAGUACGGUCGCAAGGCUGAAACUUAAAGGAAUUGGCGGGGGAGCACCACAACGGGUGGAGCCUGCGGUUU
This 873-nucleotide ribosomal RNA is filed under the name uncultured Methanomicrobiales archaeon. RNAcentral's name for it is "bacterial SSU rRNA". It matches the Rfam family "Archaeal small subunit ribosomal RNA", at positions 22 to 903 of the family's 1478-position model. Lineage: Archaea; Methanobacteriati; Methanobacteriota; Methanomicrobia; Methanomicrobiales. The record is from RNAcentral.